RNAcentral lists this ribosomal RNA (301 nucleotides) under uncultured bacterium. RNAcentral's name for it is "partial 16S ribosomal RNA". It matches the Rfam family "Bacterial small subunit ribosomal RNA", at positions 509 to 807 of the family's 1533-position model. The record is from RNAcentral.
CAGUAGCCGCGGGAAUCCGUAGGGUGCAAGCGUUAAUCGGAAUUACUGGGCGUAAAGCGUGCGCAGGCGGUUAUAUAAGACAGAUGUGAAAUCCCCGGGCUCAACCUGGGACCUGCAUUUGUGACUGUAUAGCUAGAGUACGGUAGAGGGGGAUGGAAUUCCGCGUGUAGCAGUGAAAUGCGUAGAUAUGCGGAGGAGCACCGAUGGCGAAGGCAAUCCCCUGGACCUGUACUGACGCUCAUGCACGAAAGCGUGGGGAGCAAACAGGAUUAGAUACCCCAGUAGUCCCUGUCUCUUAUAC